GACGAACCAUCCAAACGUUAUUCGGAAUUACUGGGCUUAAAGGGUGCGUAGGCUGCGCAGAAAGUUGGGUGUGAAAUCCCUCGGCUUAACCGAGGAACUGCGCCCAAAACUACUGUGCUUGAGGGAGACAGAGGUGAGCGGAACUUAGGGUGGAGCGGUGAAAUGCGUUGAUAUCCUAAGGAACACCCGUGGCGAAAGCGGCUCACUGGGUCUCUUCUGACGCUGAUGCACGAAAGCUAGGGGAGCGAACGGGAUUAGAAACCCCAGUAGUCC
RNAcentral lists this ribosomal RNA (273 nucleotides) under uncultured bacterium. RNAcentral describes it as "partial 16S ribosomal RNA". It matches the Rfam family "Bacterial small subunit ribosomal RNA", at positions 524 to 796 of the family's 1533-position model. The record is from RNAcentral.